CCCUGCAUCGAAAGUGAUUGUGGUCCUGGACGUGGCCCGGUCAUUGAUACUGCAGGCAGAGAAUCCGGUGAAAGCUUUUCCCGUGUUUGGAGACCGUUCGCUAUGGCUGCCGAACCCUGUAACUUUCACACA
This is a small nucleolar RNA of Bufo bufo (common toad), 132 nucleotides long. RefSeq annotates it as small nucleolar RNA SNORA71. The record is from RefSeq and is a predicted model, not a curated record. The transcript has a single exon. NCBI's taxonomy places the organism in Eukaryota, Metazoa, Chordata, Amphibia, Anura, Bufonidae.